RNAcentral lists this ribosomal RNA (253 nucleotides) under uncultured bacterium. RNAcentral describes it as "partial 16S ribosomal RNA". It matches the Rfam family "Bacterial small subunit ribosomal RNA", at positions 524 to 776 of the family's 1533-position model. The record is from RNAcentral.
UACGUAGGGUGCGAGCGUUGUCCGGAAUUAUUGGGCGUAAAGAGCUCGUAGGCGGUUUGUUGCGUCGGCCGUGAAAUCUCCACGCUUAACGUGGAGCGUGCGGUCGAUACGGGCAGACUUGAGUUCGGUAGGGGAGACUGGAAUUCCUGGUGUAGCGGUGAAAUGCGCAGAUAUCAGGAGGAACACCGGUGGCGAAGGCGGGUCUCUGGGCCGAUACUGACGCUGAGGAGCGAAAGCGUGGGGAGCGAACAGG